AACGAACGCUGGCGGCAGGCCUAACACAUGCAAGUCGAGCGAGCAUUUCGGUGCUAGCGGCGGACGGGUGAGUAACGCGUGGGAACGUGCCCUUUUCUGCGGAAUAGUCCUGGGAAACUGGGGGUAAUACCGCAUACGCCCUUUUGGGGAAAGAUUUAUCGGAGAAGGAUCGGCCCGCGUUGGAUUAGGUAGUUGGUGGGGGAAUGGCCCACCAAGCCGACGAUCCAUAGCUGGUUUGAGAGGAUGAUCAGCCACACUGGGACUGAGACACGGCCCAGACUCCUACGGGAGGCAGCAGUGGGGAAUCUUAGACAAUGGGGGCAACCCUGAUCUAGCCGUGCCGCGUGAGUGAGGAAGGCCUUAGGGUUGUAAAGCUCUUUCAGCUGGGAAGAUAAUGACGGUACCAGCAGAAGAAGCCCCGGCUAACUCCGUG
This 433-nucleotide ribosomal RNA is filed under the name uncultured bacterium. RNAcentral's name for it is "partial 16S ribosomal RNA". It matches the Rfam family "Bacterial small subunit ribosomal RNA", at positions 29 to 507 of the family's 1533-position model. The record is from RNAcentral.